RNAcentral lists this ribosomal RNA (484 nucleotides) under uncultured bacterium. Its description in RNAcentral is "partial 16S ribosomal RNA". It matches the Rfam family "Bacterial small subunit ribosomal RNA", at positions 30 to 507 of the family's 1533-position model. The record is from RNAcentral.
AUUGAACGCUAGCGGGAUGCUUUACACAUGCAAGUCGAACGGCAGCGCGGACUUCGGUCUGGCGGCGAGUGGCGAACGGGUGAGUAAUGUAUCGGAACGUGCCCAGUAGCGGGGGAUAACUACGCGAAAGCGUAGCUAAUACCGCAUACGCCCUACGGGGGAAAGCAGGGGAUCGUAAGACCUUGCACUAUUGGAGCGGCCGAUAUCGGAUUAGCUAGUUGGUGAGGUAACGGCUCACCAAGGCGACGAUCCGUAGCUGGUUUGAGAGGGCGACCAGCCACACUGGGACUGAGACCCGGCCCAGACUCCUACGGGAGGGCGCAGUUGGGAAUUUUGGGCAAUGGGGGCAACCCUGAUCCAGCCAUCCCGCGUGUGCGAUGAAGGCCUUCGGGUUGUAAAGCACUUUUGGCAGGAAAGAAACGUCGCGGGCUAAUACCCCGUGGAACUGACGGUACCUGCAGAAUAAGCACCGGCUAACUACGUG